CUGGCCGCGGUCACACUCAGCCAAACACGCGGACUGCGGUAGGUCGUGCCAUAGGUGGCGCCACGAUCGCAGUCGAACAUUCCCGCGCCCGCACAUUUUCUUUGAAAUUUCGUGUAAAUGCAAAGAAAAAAGUGAUAACGGAACAUCGGUGACUUAGUGCGCUGUGAUUUAUGAUAUUAUACAAAUGACUCUAUUUUUUUACCGAUAUUAUUCAAAUUUCGUAAAUAGAAAUAGGGCUACCGACGGGAUCGCUAGUGAAACGUACUGACUUCAGCGUUUCAAGUGGAAAGGAUUACGUGGACGGUACUUGGGAUUAACUUCACAGAUAACGUCAUAAACUCGCAACGACUUAAAUCUUCCAGAAACUAGAGAAAUUUUGAGAAAAUUUGAAACCAAUCUGGUUUAGAGAUUUUCUACUAAAUGCUUCGGUUGUGACCAGAUUAUAUAACUAGAAUAUUAAAAUUAAAAUAAAUGAGAAUAUUUAGCAAUAGAAAAGAAGAUAUAUCAUCAAGCAAUAUGACGACGUUAAGUAUUAGGAGUACGUUGAGGAUAGUGUGGACGUUGGUGGCAGCCAUGGUCUUCCUGACUAGAAGUAGUGCGGCGCCUGCCUUCGAGGGCGGACUCAGCCAGGCUACGAUGUACCUAGAUAAAUUUGGAUACCUAAGCCCUAAAAUACGGAAUCCCACAAGUGGGCAUAUCAUUGAUGAGAGUUUAUUCCGAAAAGCUGUUGCUGAAUUCCAGAGCUUCGCUGGACUGAACACAACAGGCGAAUUAGACGAAGAGACGAAAAAGGUGAUGGCGAUGCCUAGGUGUGGCGUGAGAGACAAAGUAGGCUUCGGAGAGAGUCGUGCCAAGAGAUACGCGCUGCAAGGAUCCAGAUGGCGCAUCAAGAACCUGACGUACAGGAUAGCCAAGUACCCGUCAAGACUGAACCACGCCGACGUUGACUUGGAGCUCGCCAAAGCGUUCUCCGUCUGGUCCGACUACACCGAUUUGACUUUCACACAGAAGCGCUCCGGACAAGUUCAUAUUGAAAUUAGAUUCGAGACGGGUGAGCACGGAGAUGGUGACCCAUUUGACGGACCUGGAGGCACCCUGGCCCAUGCUUAUUUCCCUGUUUAUGGCGGUGACGCGCAUUUUGAUGAUGCUGAAACCUGGACCAUCAACUCCAAAAGAGGGACUAACUUAUUUCAGGUGGCUGCCCACGAGUUCGGCCAUUCCCUGGGUCUCUCCCACAGCGACGUGCGGUCCGCGCUGAUGGCCCCCUUCUACCGGGGCUAUGACCCUGCCUUCCAGCUCGACCAGGACGACGUCCAGGGUAUUCAGGCGUUGUACGGCCGUAAAACCCAAACGGAUAUCGGUGGAGGGUCUGCGCCCGCGCCGGCCCCCAACACGCCGCGGCCUUCCGCCGAGGAUCCCGCACUCUGUGCUGACCCCAAGUUUGAUACCAUCUUCAAUGGUGCCGAUGGUUCUACAUUCAUAUUCAAGGGAGAAAACUACUGGAGACUAACUGAAGACGGCGUAGCAUCUGGCUACCCUCGUCUGAUCUCCCGCGCUUGGCCUGGCUUGCCUGGCAACAUCGACGCUGCCUUCACCUACAAGAACGGCAAGACUUACUUCUUCAAGGGCUCCAAGUACUGGAGGUACAACGGACAGAAGAUGGAUGGAGACUACCCGAAAGAUAUCAGCGAAGGUUUCAGUGGCAUUCCUGAUAAUUUAGACGCUGCCUUGGUCUGGUCUGGCAAUGGCAAGAUCUACUUCUACAAAGGCUCUAAAUUUUGGAGGUUUGACCCCACGAAGCGGCCGCCAGUCAAGGCCACCUACCCUAAGCCCAUUUCAAACUGGGAGGGCAUUCCGGACAAUAUUGAUGCUGCCUUACAAUACACAAAUGGAUACACAUAUUUCUUUAAAGGAGGUUCCUAUUGGAGGUUUAAUGAUAGAGCAUUUAGCGUUGACACAGACAACCCCGCGUUCCCACGGUCCACCGCGUUCUGGUGGCUCGGCUGCAGCAGCGCGCCGCGCGGCACCGUUGGAGGUAACUCGCGCUACGCUGCCUACACCAACUCGCCCGACGAGGACGAUGUCGGCGAUAUCAUUUUCGACGCAGGUGUAAAAUCAUCCGCUCCCAGGUCAUUCUUCUGGUUCAGGAAAUAGCCUCCGCGGACAGUUCCUGAAUAUUGUACAUAGAGAAUUGCAUAAAGAACAAAGACUCAAUUAGUUUCUAGGAGAAUAUAUGCGAAUACCAGUGAGAUUAUAACAUAAGCGGUGAUUUUAGUACCGGCGGGCUUGUCCACGCUGUCUAUGGGGAGGAAUCAACAGGCGGGAGAGAUAGCGGCGCGGGGGGAGUGCGGUUGUCGCUAGCGGUGGCGCUGGUGGCAGCGCUCUCGCGGCUGACCUCCCGCGUCUAGCGGCUGAGCUGACACCGGCCGCCCGCCGCCCCGCUCCCCGCCCCGCACUCCGGCCCGCUCCGGCCUGGACCGCGUCACCGACUGUGAUCGUGUGUUGUAUGCCUGUCUGCGUUCGAUAUAUUGUGUAUAGCGAAUGCACUGCUGUGAUGACGAAUGUGUCUUUUUAUACUGUUGCGAGAACGAUAAUAAUUUAAUUCGAAGUCAUAGUUUUUAUACUUAUUAUAAAUAGAUGAAGUAAGUUCGAGUGUGAUAUUGACGUAAGCGAAGUUUUUGUAUUAAAAUAUUUAAACAAACUAAA
RNA transcript from Plodia interpunctella (Indianmeal moth), 2706 nucleotides. It is a transcript of the gene named Matrix metalloproteinase 1, with no coding region annotated. The transcript has 14 exons. NCBI's taxonomy places the organism in Eukaryota, Metazoa, Arthropoda, Insecta, Lepidoptera, Pyralidae. The record is from RefSeq and is a predicted model, not a curated record.